RNAcentral lists this transfer RNA (67 nucleotides) under Clostridioides difficile. It matches the Rfam family "tRNA". Rfam says of the family: Transfer RNA (tRNA) molecules are approximately 80 nucleotides in length. Their secondary structure includes four short double-helical elements and three loops (D, anti-codon, and T loops). Lineage: Bacteria; Bacillati; Bacillota; Clostridia; Peptostreptococcales; Peptostreptococcaceae. RNAcentral also lists the same sequence under 1 other name. The record is from RNAcentral.
CAGAUAGCUCAGUCGGUAGAGCAGGGGACUGAAAAUCCCCGUGUCGGUGGUUCGAUUCCGCCUCUGG